AUGGAGAUUGUUGAACUAAAAGUGGAGAUGGUUUGUAUACAUGAAAAAAGACUAAGGAAGUGCCUCUCAAAAUUAAAAGGGAUAGAGAAAGUGGAAGUGGAUACUAAUUGUCAGAAGGUAGUAGUAUACACUGGAUACACACACAAAAACAAAAUCCUAAAAGCAGUUAGAAGAGGGGGUCUCAAGGCUGAUUUUUGGUCUCCUCAGAAUGAGUUGCUUAAUGCUUAUGUCAGUGCCAAUUAUGCCAGAUUUAGAUUCAACCCCUUUAGUUUCUUCUAG
Molecule: non-coding RNA, 279 nt
Organism: Vicia faba (fava bean)
Lineage: Eukaryota; Viridiplantae; Streptophyta; Magnoliopsida; Fabales; Fabaceae
Source: the annotation of a GenBank genome assembly